This 488-nucleotide ribosomal RNA is filed under the name uncultured Lachnospiraceae bacterium. RNAcentral's name for it is "partial 16S ribosomal RNA". The record is from RNAcentral. Lineage: Bacteria; Bacillati; Bacillota; Clostridia; Lachnospirales; Lachnospiraceae.
CACGUAGUUAGCCGGGGCUUCUUAGUCAGGUACCGUCAUUUUCUUCCCUGCUGAUAGAGCUUUACAUCACGAAUGACUUCUUCACUCACGCGGCGUCGCUGCAUCAGGGUUUCCCCCAUUGUGCAAUAUUCCCCACUGCUGCCUCCCGUAGGAGUUUGGGCCGUGUCUCAGUCCCAAUGUGGCCGUCCGCCCUCUCAGGCCGGCUACCGAUCGUCGCUUUGGUGGGCCUCUACCCCGCCAACUGGCUAAUCGGACGCGGGUCCAUCCCAUACCACCGGAGUUUUUCACACUGCUUCAUGCAAAGCUGUGCGCUUAUGCGGUAUUAGCAGCCGUUUCCGGCUGGUAUCCCCCGGUAUGGGGCAGGUUACCCACGCGUUACUCACCCGUCCGCCACUAACAUAAUUCUCACUAGGUUUCAAAUUAUGUCCGUUCGACUUGCAUGUGUUAGGCACGCCGCCAGCGUUCAUCCUGAGCCAGGAUCAAACUCU